This is a long non-coding RNA of Oncorhynchus keta (chum salmon), 1964 nucleotides long. RefSeq lists it as uncharacterized. The transcript is spliced from 4 exons. NCBI's taxonomy places the organism in Eukaryota, Metazoa, Chordata, Actinopteri, Salmoniformes, Salmonidae. The record is from RefSeq and is a predicted model, not a curated record.
UAAUGAAUCUACCUCUAGCUCAGUGCCAUCAAUAUCAGUCAACGGUGGAUUUAUCGGUCAGAUCAAGUCAUAAAAACAUUGAGUAGGCUUUAAAUACAAACGGGCACCUCUGUCGAUACUUACUCACACGACAUAGCCUGCGGCAAUGUCCGACUCAAUGAUUUACAGUCGAAUGCAAAUGACUUAACCAGUUAAAACAAAUGCAAAAUAUCUCCGAUAUCGAUGUUAACAAUUUAGCUAAAAAUAAUCAAAAAUAAGCCAUCGAUUUGACGUCUCAUGAUUGACCGGUCACGCGAUAACGAAAGUACAUCCCCAUUGAAUUCGGUUCUGUGGCCCACUUCAAAAGGUGAGGAGGCCCUUUCCUGUCAGGCUCAGCAGGAGGUUGCAUAUUAAUGCUCUACCUGCCUGUUAGAAGUGCAGACAGCUGACCUGAGAACAGAAGGUAGAGAACACGUGUCACGCCAUAGGUAUCAGAGUCCACUGGCCCAGCACUUCAGCAAGCCUCACAUCAUGACGGGGAGCAGGCUGCACAUGAGAAAACCAGCAAACCAGAUCGUUGUGAUCAGUGUGUCUCCUCAUCAAACAAAAUCCUCUCAAAUCUGCACAGGACAAUGACCCAACACACUUCCAGGCUGUGUAAGGGCUAUUUGACCAAGGAGGAGAGUGAUGGAGUGCUGCAUCAGAUGACCUGGUCUCCACAAUCCCACGACCUCAACCCAAUUGAGAUGGUUUGGGAUAAGACCGCAGAGUGAAGGAAAAGCAGCCAACAAGUGCUCAGCAUAUGUGGGAACUCCUUCAAGACUGUUGGAAAAGCAUUCCAGGUGAAGCUGGUUGAGAGAAUGCCAAGAAUGUGCAAAUCUGUCAUCAAGGCAAAAGGUGGCUACUUUGAGGUAUCUCAAAUAUAAAAUAUAUUUUGAUUUGUUAAACACUUUUUUGGUUAAUACAUGAUUCCAUAUGUGUUAUUUCAUAUUUUUGAUGUCUUCACUAUUAUUCUACAAUGUAGAAAAUAGUCAAAUUAAAGAAAAACCCUUGAAUGAGUAGGUGUGUCCAAACUUUUGACUGGUACUGUAUAUAUACCACUCAAGAAAAUAACCUUUUUUGACUGCAGCUAGGCCAUUCCACUAAUUCUGUGCCUUUUAAGAAGUGUAACGUGGUUAUUUCACCUAUUAAAACAAUUAUGUCAUAAAGAGCAAAUGUUCAACUUAAUAAAAAACUUGUUUUCCCAUCUAAAUCGGUUAAAUAAAAAUUUAAAAUGCUAUAGUAAAUGCCUUUUAAGUGCCAAAUAAAGUAACAGGGUUGACCAUAAGGUUGAUGAGUUCAUGUUAAAUCAGCCAUAAAUCCCCUUGUGACAGGGUGAAUGGAAACUUGUGUGCAACAGGGAGUGGUAAUUAAAUGCAAGCUUCACAAAAAAAAUGUAAUUGUUGAAACAACUGUAGCCUGUCUACAGUAGGUUGGUUGGAUGUGUUAUUUAUGAUUAAAUAUCCGCAAUCCAUAGUAUUAUCCGUGUGAGAGUGAUGAUCUAGCUGUCUACUGUAUAUGGUUUUGGGGGAACUGGAGAGUUCACCCGGUUGCUGUUCUGUGUAUCAAGUGUCAUCUUUAGUCAUCCAAAUUCCCUCUUUUCGGCCCCCUGCCCUUGCUCCAAACCUUUACCAUCCGCAUGAUUGAUACCCAGUCUUACGAGGUAUCUUUGCCCCCUCCUUCAGAGGUCGUGUAUCGGGUGUCCAGAUAUUAAAGGAGCUCUUCUUCUGAUGGUGACGCAGGCUCCUUGCUGGGUUGUCAAAGGAAAACACGCAUGAGAAGCACAGCAGUACCUCUCACUGCUCCCUCCACCUUGAAAUCUGGCACUUCUUUUACAUAGCUGAAGGGGUAUUUAUAAAGAGAAACAUCAGAGGUCUGACAUGUGAACUGGCUGACAAGUGCAUCUCACUGAAAAAUGGCCUUGGUCUAAUGUCUGAGGUAAUAGU